GUUUGAGUGGGCGAGUCAAAUCAGCCUGUUAGGCAGGUAGAUAAACACCUUAGUUUGAGUGGGCAUGGCAAAUCAACCCGUUAAGCAGGUGAAUAAAUGCUUUAAUUAAGGCGGGCGAAUUAAAUCAAUCCAAUGGACAGGCAGAUAAACACUUUAGUUUAGGAGGGCAAGUCAAAUCAGCAUGUUAAGCAAGCGGACAAAUGCCUUAAUUUGAGUGGGUGAGUCAAAUCAGCCCAUUAGACAGGCGGGUAAACAUCUUAGUUUCU
Molecule: unclassified non-coding RNA, 266 nt
Filed under: Hevea brasiliensis (rubber tree)
Lineage: Eukaryota; Viridiplantae; Streptophyta; Magnoliopsida; Malpighiales; Euphorbiaceae
Source: RNAcentral